GACGAACGCUGGCGGCGUGCUUAACACAUGCAAGUCGAACGGAAAGGCCCCUUUGGGGGUACUCGUGUGGCGAACGGGCGAGUAACACGUGAGUAACCUGCCCUUGACUUCGGGAUAACUUCAGGCAACUGGGGCUAAUACCGGAUAGGACUCCUUGCUGCAUGGUGGGGGUUGGAAAGCUUCGGCGGUUUUGGCUGGACUCGCGGCCUAUCAGCUUGUCGGUGGGGUAGUGGCUCACCACGGCUUUGCCGGGUAGCCGGCCUGAGCGGGCGACCGGCCACAUUGGGACUGAGAGACGGCCCAGACGCCUACGGGAGGCAGCAGGGGGGAAGAUUGCAGAAGGGGCGGAAGCCUGAUGCAGCAACGCCGCGGGCGGGAUGACGGCCUUCGGGUUGUGAACCGCUUUCAGCAGGGGCGAAGCUUGUGGUGACGGUACCUGCAGAAGAAGCACCGGCUAACUACGUG
This 465-nucleotide ribosomal RNA is filed under the name uncultured bacterium. Its description in RNAcentral is "partial 16S ribosomal RNA". It matches the Rfam family "Bacterial small subunit ribosomal RNA", at positions 28 to 507 of the family's 1533-position model. The record is from RNAcentral.